GGCCAACUGUGCUGUGCAUCUCAGCAGGCAGAGCUCUGGACAUCACCAACAUGGCCUGGACACACUGCCUGCUCAUUCUCCUCUGCACAGGUUCCACAGCCUCCGCCAUCCUGACACAGCCGCCCUCAGUGUCAGUGACCCCAGGACAGACAGCCACAAUCACCUGCUCUGGAGAUAAUCUCUCUGAGAAUUAUGCUAACUGGUACCAGCAGAAGCCAGGCCAGGCCCCCGCACUGGUCAUCUAUGAGGAUAGUAAACGGCCCUCAGGCAUCCCUGACAGAUUUUCUGGCUCCAACUCAGGAAGCACGACCACCUUGACCAUCAGUGGGGCCCAGCCUGAGGAUGAGGCUGACUAUUACUGUCAAAGUUAUGACAGCAGUGCUGUUAUCUUCGGCGGCGGGACCCAUCUCACCGUCCUAGGUAAGUGGAUCUCGUGAUCUUUCCCAGCCUGCCCUCCUCCUUUUCUCUCUUGGGAAAGUCUGUUUUCUCUUUCUGGGGAUCUUUUCCUCUCUACUCUCCCUGAGUCUGGGGGAGGUGGGUGAUCCUAGGGUACACAGCAGAAAGCGUCCCACCAGUCAGAUAUGGCUUAGUCCUGAAGAUCUUGGGUGGAACUGUUCAGAUAAGGGGUGUCCUUUCUCUUUUCUAGGACAGACACCCAAGUAGGGUCAGGGAGCAUGUCUGGAAAGGGACACUCAGUGGCUACAGAGACUGCCUCUAAAGGCUCCAGAGCCUAAACUGAGAACUGAAUGUUAAAUUAGGCUAGGAGGAGUACUCUGAAGGCACAGGGACAUGGCUGGAGGUUACUGCAAGUGGAGACAAGCAGAGAGAGCUCUGGCUUACCCUAGGUUCCACUCUCCAGGCCUCUCCUGGCAAGGAGGAAACAGGGACACAGAGAGAUACAUCAGACUGUGCGAGGUGACCAGAGCCCAACAUGGUCAUCAGAAAAGAGAGGUCCAUAGAGCAGAGACUCAUCUGUUCUGGAGCCCCUUAAACUUGGGCCAUGGAGUCUCCAUUGCACAUUACUGUCUCCUGCCUUCUUCAAAGGGCACAUUAGGCUCAAGAGAUGAGGAACGGGAUGUGGAGACAGGGCUUGCAGAAACUACCUCAGUGCAAGGUAGAAUCAAGAUUUACCAGAAGCUACCGGGAUGGGGGGAAGCUUCUGUGCACCUCGGUGUGGGGGAGCAGCCCCAGGAAAACAACCUAGUCAAAUAGUUUGAUGAUCAGACUGGUAGGAUAGAGCCAAGAUGUGGAACAGGCCGGGCAUGUCAGGAUGUAACACACAGCUUGGCAAAAGAGUAUAUCUGGCUAGAACAGAGCAGUAAAACUGGAGGAGAAAAGAGGCUAAGCCCACUCUCCUGUACGAAAAAGAGGCUCAGGGCCUCCCCACACAGCAGAGGCCAUGCUCCAGGAUGUUUAGAGACAUCCUGCUUAGAGAAGAGGCACCAGACAAGGGAAAAGUGAACUUCACUGCAGGUCUUGCCUCAGGUAUGCCCCGUGAGCUAAGGGAAAGAGUCUAGACUCAGACUCCAGAG
Non-coding RNA from Chinchilla lanigera (long-tailed chinchilla), 1532 nucleotides. Lineage: Eukaryota; Metazoa; Chordata; Mammalia; Rodentia; Chinchillidae. The record is from the annotation of a RefSeq genome assembly.